This is a long non-coding RNA of Homo sapiens (human), 2110 nucleotides long. Lineage: Eukaryota; Metazoa; Chordata; Mammalia; Primates; Hominidae. The record is from Ensembl.
GGGAGAGAAAGGAAGUGGAGAACGUUCUUGCAAGAUGAUCUGUAUUUUCUCUCUAAAGCAGAGUUCAUUUGCUGAGAAUGAUGGAGAAAAUCAGCAUCUAGCUAAUCAGCUGACCAUGAGAUGCAGAGAUUAUCUGGAAUUAUCCAGAUUGGUCCAUUUAAUUACAUGAGUCCUUAAAAGUGGAAAGUGGAAGAAGAGGCAGAAGAGUGUGUCAGAGAGAUGCUGUGUGAAAAGGACUCAACCUGCCACUUGAGGCUUUGAGGCUGGAGAAAGGGGCCAUGAACCAAGGAUUGUGAGCAGCCUGUAAAAUCUGGAAAAGACAAGGCAAUACCCUUUGCUGUCUCAGGGUCAAACAUGCAACUCCUGCCUGCUUGUAUGGCCAGCUGGGUUCAAGAAGGAAGGAACCUCAUUGUUGACAGUUACCAGAUGAAUGUGCCCCUUCUGUACAGCUAAGAAAUGGAAUAGACAUUGGUAACCUUCCACAGGCCCACACAUGUGUUAUCAGCCAUACCUUAGGACAGAAGGAAUGAGUUUGCAGAAAGGAUGCUCUUCAGAACUCAUGAAGACAUAAGGUGCUUCAAAAGAGGAGACUUUCGGAACAUGAGCAGGGAAAUUGUCACUUGAUAGAUGACAAGCAUUGUGAGAAACAACAGUUUGCCUUUCUUCAUUCCCUUCCUGGUUAUCUUUCCUGUCACAUGAAGAAGAAAUGAAACACCAGAGAGAAUCAGGUUAUCAUCAUCUACACCAGCCACUGUCACUGGUUAAGUAUUAGUUUAAUAUUCCAUUCUUCAUAUAAGAUGGUACCUGACCCACCAUUCCCUGUACAUGCAUUUUGAAUUGUUUCCCACACAUGGCAUUGCAGGAGAAGUUUCUUGGUCACUGUGGGGGCUGCUACUCUAAAGCAGGAGUUUUCAAUCUUCAUUGUCCUUGUUGCAGAACCCUUUGUUUAAAAGCCCAAGAUGUAAAACAGAUGAAAACAGAGCUGCUUUGUUAGAAACCAGGCACAUGAGAGGGAUCACAGUGUUUCUCUUUAGCUCCUUUGAGGACUUUGAAGACCCCUGCUCUAAUGCAAUUCUAACUUCUUGAUUGUAACAAAAUUUAGGAACACUAUGAGUUUGCCCUGAAAGGAGACUCUCCAAGUGGGGAGGCACAGAUGAUCAAGGGGCUCUGUCUGCAUCCUUUAGCUUCAUAUUCAUCUUAGUUCUUGCACAUGUUAGAUCCACUCUCAUCCUCAUGACAUACUCCUGGUAAAUCAUAGGCCCUGAAUUUCUCAUUACAGAGCUGAUCGGUUGUAAUUUCCUGCUACUAAAAGCCAAGUAAUUACACCCCAAACUUUAAGUUCAAGGAAGGAUGGAGAUUAGGCUUGUUUUGUUCAGGAUGUCAUCCCAUUGCAUAAUGUGCCUGGCAUACACUGGGAAUUCAAUAAAUAUAUGUGGACAGAAUUGAAUGAAGGCUCACAAAUGGACAACCAAUGGGGAAAAGCACAGAGACCUCAAAAAAUAUAAAAAGAGUGCAAAAGUUAAAUGCAUAGCUUUCUAGAGCAGCGAUGGCACUCUUGUCACUAAGCUUAUGAACUUGUUUCAUCUCAUUAUUCGUUUUGAGUCAGAUGCCCCCCAGAGGUUCUACUAGCUUUCCCUGGACUCUUAUGACUUACCUCCUGGCCUGCUUUUUCUUAGUACCGUCUUAAAAUUACCUUCCUGGGUAUAUUUUAUAUGCCCUUCUCUAUAAUGCACCUUGGCAUGCCCAUGAUUAAGACAAAGAGAGCAUGAUACUUUCCCGCAGCUAAUGGAGUGCUGGCCUUUGGUUUCUGGGAAUUUUUGUGUGAUUAUUUCUUUAUUCUGUCUAAGAAUUAUCAGAAAUAGGCCAGGCGUGGUGACUUAUGCCUGUAAUCCCAGCACUUUGGGUGGCUGAGGUGGGCAGACCACCUGAGGUCAGGUGUUCGAGACCAGCCUGGCCAACGUGGUGAAACUUCAUUUCUACUAAAAAUACAAAAAUUAGCUGGGUGUGGUGGUGCUACUUGGGAGGCUGAGGCAGGAGAAUCGCUUGAACCUGGGAGGCAGAAGCUGCAGUGAGCCAAGACUGGGCCACUGCACUCCAGCCUGGGUGACAG